UGGGGCUGUGAAAACUCUAAACAGACAGACAGACAGGUAUGGAGCUGUAAAUACUCUAAACAGACAGACAGGUAUGGAGCUGUGAAAACUCUAAACAGACAGACAGAGCUAUUGAGCUGUGAAUACUCUAAACAGACAGACAGGUAUGGAGCUGUGAAAUUUCUAAACAGAAAGACAGACAGACAGGUAUGGAGCUGUGAUUACUCUAAACAGACAGACAGGCAGGUAUGGAGCUGUGAAAACUCUAAACAGAAAGACAGACAGACAGGUGUGGAGCUGUGAAAACUCUAAACAGACAGACAGGUAUGGAGCUGUGAAAACUCUAAACAGACAGACAGGCAGACAGACAGGUGUGGAGCUGUGAAAACUCUAAACAGACAGACAGAGCUAUUGAGCUGUGAAUACUCUAAACAGACAGACAGGUAUGGAGCUGUGAAUACUUUAAACAGACAGACAGACAGACAGGUAUGGAGCUGUGAAAACUCUAAACAGAUAGACAGACAGACAGACAGGCAGGUAUGGAGCUGUGAAAACUCUAAACAGAAAGACAGACAGACAGGUAUGGAGCUGUGAAAACUCUAAACAGACAGACAGGUAUGGAGCUGUGAAAAC
Molecule: long non-coding RNA, 612 nt
Organism: Oncorhynchus tshawytscha (Chinook salmon)
Lineage: Eukaryota; Metazoa; Chordata; Actinopteri; Salmoniformes; Salmonidae
Source: Ensembl